RNAcentral lists this long non-coding RNA (2561 nucleotides) under Sus scrofa (pig). RNAcentral describes it as "lncRNA (ENSSSCG00025050471.1)". The record is from RNAcentral. Lineage: Eukaryota; Metazoa; Chordata; Mammalia; Artiodactyla; Suidae.
GGAAGUCCCUCCCCGACGGCUGCGCCACAUCCCGGGAGGCUGUAGCUCUGCGGCUCAGAGCCCCGGCGCUGUGGAGGAGAUUCUAGACCGGGAGAACAAGCGGAUGGCGGACACCUUGGCCUCCAAGGUCACCAGGCUCAAGUCGCUGGCCUUGGACAUUGAUAGGGAUGUGGAGGACCAGAACCGGUACCUGGACGGCAUGGACUCGGAUUUCACGAGUGUGACGGGCCUCCUCACGGGGAGUGUGAAGCGCUUUUCCACAAUGGCGAGAUCUGGGCGAGACAACCGGAAGCUUCUCUGUGGUGUGGCCAUGGGCCUGAUCGUGGUCUUCUUCAUCCUCUCCUACCUCCUGUCAAGGGCAAGGACGUGAGCCAGUGGGAACUGGUUUCUGUAGGUACCUGGGACAACCAGGGUCUUCCUCUGCCUUGUGUCCUGGGCUCCAGAAGAUCUACCUACAAAAUACCCCUUCGAAGUGAUGAGCAUGGCUUAGGAAUCUUUUUCCUGUGUGGCUGGGAGCCUCUGACCCAGUAAGCUCAUGUUAGCUGGUCCCAUGUGUGCAAGGGGCCCAUCCCCAUUGGGUAACCAAGGCCCAGCUUCCUCUGCCAUCUUGGGUGCUAGAAGCCCUAGCAGAGCCAGGUUGGAGCAGAGCAGCUGGGAAUCCUGGACGUGACCACCUGUGACCAGCAGCCCUUCCCCCAGCCCUCAGGGUUCUGAUGUAUUGAGGCUUCUCUGCUUGGUCUUGGUCUGGAUAAGGCCACGUCUGGUAUUCGAGGUGCCCAGAGCCGACACAGGAAGGGGUGCGACUGUGAACCUCGAAUCAUUGCUGUCACUUUCAGCCAAGGGUCCUCAAACCAGAGAUGGCCGUUGCUCCUGGCCAGGGCUGCCGGGCACUGGUGGACCAGCAAGAGUCAAGGGUCCUGCCGAGAGGUGUCUGCCUGCCGUCCAACCCCAUGGCUGGAGCCCGACCCUCAGGGAAGGGCAGUGGCCAUGCGUGGAGAAGUGAACUGCAGCAUUGGCUGAAGACGCGGGCCCAGGUCCUCCUGGUCUCCCUGUGUCCAGGAGCAGAAACUGACCUUUUCUCAGGAUUCAGGGUCUGUCCAGCACCGAGACACGUUUCCAGGAGCCCAGAUCUCUAGAAAGAGGCUCAUCUGGCAUGUCAGAGUCAGGCAGGGUGUGAGCAGGGGCCUCUGUGGGUACAGCCUGGAGGCUUCCAGGUAACAGCUUUUCAUAGGAUCUGUAGGUCGCUUUUUGAGGGUCCGCGGACAGUUUCCACCGAGUCUGGCCCUUCCACCUACAGUAUCUGCCCAUCUCUCCUUGGGCCCUCAGUGCCCACUGGUCAGUCUCCUGCUCACACAAGGUGAACUGCAGUUUCUUCCAAACCAAUGGGUCUUUCUACCCCACUGUGAGAUCUCAGUGUCUUCCCAUGAAAACACCUGUAAGAAACGAGUCAUCAGCUCUGUCCUUCCCGUCUUUUGUUCCAGUUCUCUGUCUUCCUGGUCACUCCCCUUCACUCUCUGAGGGCUACCGGCUCACCGGCCAUCUUCACACAUACACAUGUGGUCAUAUGUCAGCCACAGCCUGUGCCUCUCGACUCCUGCCACCCCACCCUGCUCUGGUCUCUGGCCCUGGGCACCUCACCUUCUGGCCCUGCUGCUCCUGCUCCUCCUCUCUCUCUCCUUUGUUCUCCACCGAGCAGGCCUGGCUUGUCUCACACUCACCAUAAUGCCCUUCUCUUUUCCACUGCGCCUGGUUGGGCCUCAGCCUUCUGGAAGGGGAGCGUGCUACCUUCUCAUUUCCGAGUGCUCUGUUCUUACUGCCUCCAUCCCUCCAGUGUGUGCUUGUUUCUCACUCGGUGAGGUCCGCUUCCUUGCCUCCAUGGCUUCGACUCAGCCGUCAGCUCAUCUCAUGUUGAAAUUUGUCACAGGGACGUGCCUACUGUUCAUGAAGCUCAGCAGCUGCUGCCGUGUCGUGUUUCCAUCGGGUCACCACAGGCACGGCAGACACAUCAGACCUGAGUGUGGCAGCCGCCUGUUCUGGGCCUGCUAACCUGGCUUCCUGAGAAUAUGGCUCAGCCAUGGCUGUUGCUCCCCCCAGGAUGCUCUUACCUGCUGUGCCCACUCGUCUUGCCAGUGCAGACCAGGAAUUGAGGAUUUGCCUUUCAGAAUGACUGUCUCAAGAAGUGCUCUGCCCCCUCCGAGACCUCUGGUUGCUGUGUUCUCUCCUUGGGUCCCCACCUCUGCCUCCCCACUUCAUUUCCAUGGCUCUUGGCAGCUCUUCCAGCUAUUUUGGGGUCUGGGUUUUUGUCUCUGUCUGGUUUACUUUUUUGUUGCAUUAGGCUGAGUUCCUGAAUGCUGCUGCCACCACGUCGGCAGGGUUUUCUGUGGGGCCUGCACCCUUCUGCUCAGCCCUGUGCACUCAGCACCUCCUCCUGUGGAUAAGUGGGGUUUGCUAAGUGGCCCUUCAGACUAAAACAGAAGAGGCCUUGGAGUCCUCUGUGCCAAGGGAGGGCCCCAAGUCAAGGACAAGGCAUUUGGUCAUAAAAACUUGGAAUAAACAGAUUC